AUCUCAGUAGCUCAGUUGGCAGAGCGGCGGUCUCCAAAACCGUAGGCCGAGGGUUCGAAUCCUUCCUGGGAUGCCA
This 76-nucleotide transfer RNA is filed under the name Hydrogenophaga aromaticivorans. RNAcentral describes it as "tRNA-Trp". It matches the Rfam family "tRNA". From Rfam's summary of the family: Transfer RNA (tRNA) molecules are approximately 80 nucleotides in length. Their secondary structure includes four short double-helical elements and three loops (D, anti-codon, and T loops). The record is from RNAcentral. Lineage: Bacteria; Pseudomonadati; Pseudomonadota; Betaproteobacteria; Burkholderiales; Comamonadaceae.